CUCUACCUACGGGGCGCAGCAGUGAGGAAUAUUGGUCAAUGGGCGGGAGCCUGAACCAGCCAAGUCGCGUGAGGGAAGACGGUCCUAUGGAUUGUAAACCUCUUUUGUCGGGGAGCAAAGAGGCCACGUGUGGUCAAAAGCGAGAGUACCCGAAGAAAAAGCAUCGGCUAACUCCGUGCCAGCAGCCGCGGUAAUACGGAGGAUGCGAGCGUUAUCCGGAUAUAUUGGGUUUAAAGGGUGCGUAGGCGGGACGGUAAGUCAGCGGUAAAAAUGCGGAGCCCAACUCCGUCGAGCCG
Molecule: ribosomal RNA, 296 nt
Filed under: uncultured bacterium
Lineage: Bacteria
Description: partial 16S ribosomal RNA
Rfam family: Bacterial small subunit ribosomal RNA
Source: RNAcentral